This is a small nuclear RNA of Zalophus californianus (California sea lion), 107 nucleotides long. Lineage: Eukaryota; Metazoa; Chordata; Mammalia; Carnivora; Otariidae. The record is from Ensembl.
GUACUGGCUUUGGCAGCACAUAUACUAAUAUUAGAGCAAUACAGAGGAGAUUAUCUUGGCUGGUUAGCAAGGAUGGUGCACAAAUUUGUGAAGUGUUCCAUAUUUUU